GACGAACGCUGGCGGCGUGCCUAAUACAUGCAAGUUGAGCGCUGAAGUCGGGUACUUGUACCCACUGGUUGAGCAGCGAACGGGUGAGUAACGCGUGGGGGAUCUGCCUUUGAGCAGGGGACAACAUUUGGAAACGAAUGCUAAUACCGCAUAAAAACUUUAAACACAAGUUUUAAGUGUGAAAGAUGCUAUUGCAUCACUCAAAGAUGAUCCCGCGUUGUAUUAGCUAGUUGGUGAGGUAAAGGCUCACCAAGGCGAUGAUACAUAGCAGACCUGAGAGGGUAAUAGGCAAAAUUGGGCCUGAGACACGGCCAGAAACACUACGAGAGGCAGACGUAGGGAAUCCUCGCGAAAGGAAGAAAGGGUGAACGAGCAACGACGCGUGAGUGAAGAAGGCUUUCGGAUCGUAAGACUCUGUUGGUAGAGAAGAACGUUGGUGAGAGUGGAACGCGAACCAAGUGACGGUAACUACCCAGAAAGCGACGGCUAACUACGUG
RNAcentral lists this ribosomal RNA (497 nucleotides) under uncultured bacterium. RNAcentral's name for it is "partial 16S ribosomal RNA". It matches the Rfam family "Bacterial small subunit ribosomal RNA", at positions 28 to 507 of the family's 1533-position model. The record is from RNAcentral.